GUGCUCACUUUGGCAGCACAUAUAUAAAAUUGUAAUGAUACAGAGAAGAUUAGCAUGGCC
Molecule: small nuclear RNA, 60 nt
Filed under: Propithecus coquereli (Coquerel's sifaka)
Lineage: Eukaryota; Metazoa; Chordata; Mammalia; Primates; Indriidae
Source: RNAcentral